Molecule: ribosomal RNA, 509 nt
Filed under: uncultured bacterium
Lineage: Bacteria
Description: bacterial SSU rRNA
Rfam family: Bacterial small subunit ribosomal RNA
Source: RNAcentral
AACAAACGCUGGCGGCGUGCCUAACACAUGCAAGUCGUACGAGAAAGUCGGCUUCGGCCGAUGAGUACAGUGGCGCACGGGUGAGUAGCGCGUGGGUAAUCUGCCCCCCCGGUCAGGAAUAACCCGCCGAAAGGCGGGCUAAUACCCGAUAACACUGACGCUCCGCGGAGCGUCUUUCAAAGAAGGCCUCUGUUUACAAGCUUUCGCCGGAGGAUGAGCCCGCGUACCAUUAGCUAGUUGGCAGGGUAAUGGCCUACCAAGGCUACGAUGGUUAGCUGGUCUGAGAGGAUGGCCAGCCACACUGGAACUGAGACACGGUCCAGACUCCUACGGGAGGCAGCAGUGAGGAAUCUUGCGCAAUGGGGGAAACCCUGACGCAGCAACGCCGCGUGAGUGAGGAAGGCCUUCGGGUCGUAAAGCUCUGUCAGAUGGGAAGAAAUGGAGUGGGGGACUAAGUAUCGCCCAUCCUUCGACGGUACCAUCAGAGGAAGCACCGGCUAACUCCGUCG